GGGGGUAUAGCUCAGUGGUAGAGCAUUUGACUGCAGAUCAAGAGGUCCCUCGUUCAACUCCAGGUGCCCCCU
Manacus vitellinus (golden-collared manakin) is the source of this 72-nucleotide non-coding RNA. Lineage: Eukaryota; Metazoa; Chordata; Aves; Passeriformes; Pipridae. The record is from the annotation of a RefSeq genome assembly.